RNAcentral lists this ribosomal RNA (473 nucleotides) under uncultured bacterium. RNAcentral's name for it is "partial 16S ribosomal RNA". It matches the Rfam family "Bacterial small subunit ribosomal RNA", at positions 28 to 507 of the family's 1533-position model. The record is from RNAcentral.
GAUAAACGCUGGCGGCGCACAUAAGACAUGCAAGUUGAACGGACUUAAUCGAAAUAUUUCUAUUUUGAAGCGGUUAGUGGCGGACUGGUGAGUAACGCGUAAGGAACCUGCCUAUUAGAGGGGAAUAACAGUGAGAAAUCAUUGCUAAUACCGCAUAUGCCAUAGAUAUCACAUGAUAACAGUGGGAAAGGAGCAAUCCGCUAAUAGAUGGCCUUGCGUCUGAUUAGAUAGUUGGUGGGGUAACGGCCUACCAAGUCGACGAUCAGUAGCCGGACUGAGAGGUUGAACGGCCACAUUGGGACUGAGAUACGGCCCAGACUCCUACGGGAGGCAGCAGUCGGGAAUAUUGCGCAAUGGAGGAAACUCGGACGCAGUGACGCCGCGUAUAGGAAGAAGGUUUUCGGAUUGUAAACUAUUGUCGUUAGGGAAGAGAAAGGUCAGUACCUAAGGAGGAAGCUCCGGCUAACUACGUG